UUUGAGUUUUUUUUUUCCAUUAAUUGUUGAUUGACGGGCGUUGUUUGAUGUGCAGGUAUCUUCGAAAUCGUGAUGAUUGACAUUGCAAAUGCUAUUGUAACAGGAGUCACAUGAAAUAAAUUGGUAAUUUUCUUUUGUCUAAUUUGAAUUAUGCUGUUAAUAUUAUUUGAUUUGCAUGUCCCUGAGGGUGCCAUGGUUGCUGCGACAAUCUAUAUUGGCUCUUUUUUCGAGCUUCGAGAUGAUGAUAUGAUAAAUUCAAGCGAAGGGCCCUAAUCGACUUAAAUUUUAUGAUGCUCUUAACAAAGCUUGCGAUAAUUAUAGGUUAAUUAAGGUACAUGUCCACUCCACUACUUUUUAAUUCGUUGAUCAUGGGUAAUCCAACUUUAAGUUUCUUUGAGUCUCAUUCAGAGUCUUUUAAAUUACUCUAGCUUGGAAGUCUAAGUUUGGUGAUUAUAUCCGGUGUGGUUCCAAAGACUGUUAUCGGGUAAGUAAAUCUGCUAAUCUAGGAUAUAUUGAUAAAUAAAGGCCUGAAUUUCUUAUGUGUUUGCCUCGUUCAAACCCUACUUCAUCAUCCUCUUCAGAAAUUCGAGAUUCUGAAACAGAAAUUCCGUGUUUCUCUAAUUCUACCAAUCUGUUUCGAAUCUCUUUACUAAGAAAUCGAAAGUCUGGAAUUCGAAUUGGUAUACUAUCUCUUUCAGACGUAGAUAUAAUUUGGGUUUUGCGUAUAUGGAUAGUUACAAAAGAUUGAUUAUGAUUUUGUGCAACUCGGUUUCAAAGGUUUGUGAAGAUUUGGAGUUUAUGCUGCCACGGAGAAGAAGCUGUACAGAGAGAACUUGAUUUACCAGCUCGAGGUGAUUUUUUUAUUGUGCUCGAGGAUUGCUUGGGCGGGGAGAAGAUCGAAUUGAAAGAGAUGCACAUGUUAAGAAGAUACUGUUGCUGCCAUAGUUUUGAGAGUGUGUAUCUAGAAGAGGUGAGACUGGUGAUGGUGGAUAAGCUGGUGGUGAUCUGUAGAAGAAAGAUGGUGUUGUAGCUGCUGUUGAAGUAAUUAGGUAUCAAUAAGAAGUUCCGUGGUUGUUGCUUUUGAUAAUUUAAUGGUUUGUUUCCAGGCAGAGUUAGCCAAUUAGCAAAACAUUUUUGAAUGCAAGCCUAUGGAGUGAAUUUAACGAGAUGGCGAUGGAGUUAUUAUUUACGAUAUGCUAAGUCUGGAUUGCAGUGGAGAUGCUGGAGGAGUGUUUUGAUUCAUUAUGAAUUGGAUACUCAUUAUGUCAAUAAGGUUGUCAUUUAUUCAGUUUUUUAUUGGCAGUGUUUUUUUUUUGUCUUGCAUCAUUAUCUUUAUAAAUCUACCGGUUAAUAUAGUAUACAUGCUGUUAGGAAAUCGAUAGAUCCCUCCGACAAUAAAAACUCGGUUUAUAUACAUUUAAUUGACAUUCAAACAAUGAAACUCAGUUUGAUUUGUACUUUUUGGUGAAUUACUUGCAGGCUUACAUGGCUUGCAUUAUGCAAGAUCAUUGGUAAGUCUCUAUUUACAGGAUAUCCAAUUUACUGUUAUGUUUUGCAUCGAACUUCAGAGCAUAUUGAUCACAUCUCAAUUCUGAUAAUAUUGCUUUUAGAACUGAGCAAUGUUGAUCUAGCGACUCAUAUAGUCUCAUUCUAUGAUUUUUUUCUGGAUAUGAGUUUCUUUUAAGUGAUUAAACUGGAAAAUUAUCAAAAUUGUAGCAUCCCUAUCACAUUAACAUUGUUAACAAAAAAAUGUGAAUGCAGUGUGUACCUUCAGGGCAUAUUAAUGAUUUCAAUGCAGAGAAACAACAACAGAGGCAACUGCGAAGAAAGGUAACUUUAAUACGCCCAGUAACAUUUGCUCGAGCUUGGGUUCUUUAACUCCUCCAGUCACUCACGGAUGGUAUGGCAGAAGCGCUUUGUUUGAAAUAAAAUGAAGUGGCAAGCUCCAAAUACAUGUUAAGAUCCUUCAGAGACAAAAAAAAAAUGCAAGGCUUGAGAGUAGUAAUCAUUUUCAAGGUACAGGACAUGCAGAAAAUGACUGCAAAAAUGAUUAUUGAUUAUCAAGAGUAGUCAAUUAAUGAUAUUCCCUUCCUUUUAACAUUAUUCUUUUUUCCCGUGCAUGUAUUGACUGCACUAGC
Papaver somniferum (opium poppy) is the source of this 2138-nucleotide long non-coding RNA. RefSeq lists it as uncharacterized. The transcript is spliced from 6 exons. NCBI's taxonomy places the organism in Eukaryota, Viridiplantae, Streptophyta, Magnoliopsida, Ranunculales, Papaveraceae. The record is from RefSeq and is a predicted model, not a curated record.